This is a long non-coding RNA of Dreissena polymorpha, 733 nucleotides long. RefSeq lists it as uncharacterized. The transcript is spliced from 3 exons. The record is from RefSeq and is a predicted model, not a curated record. Lineage: Eukaryota; Metazoa; Mollusca; Bivalvia; Myida; Dreissenidae.
UUGGAUGUUUGUAAGUUUCCAAAACAUUGGUAUUUUAACUAUAGCUGCAUACAGGAAGUAGAAUUAAUGCAAUUCGAAAACAGGUGUAAUGCUGGCUCCGGUCAGUAUUUCUGUUGGAAAUUUGAAAGGGCGUACAGACAUUGAACUUUUACAAAAAAUCUAAUCCUUUGACCCCCAAUUUUCUCCAUUGCUGUUUAGUACUUGGUAAGUUACCAAUGUAAAAACAUGGUUUCCAGGCACCUUGCUUCUGCAGGAAAGUGGCAGUUUGUUGUUGAAACUGGCUUAAAAAGGCUCGGAAACACACAGAAUUCUCAUGUUUUGAUUUGAAAUCAUCAAUACUAAAACAUUUUGCCCCAACUCAUUUGAUUUGAAUGUUACUGAUUUUUCAGAAGGCACAGCCUCAACCAUUCUGGAAAUGUGCUUGGUUUAUUUUCAGAUUUGCGAGGUGACCAGUUUCCAGACAUUGGUUCGCUCCUGCUUGUGUACGAGAUUGGCCGAGACUAAAAAAACUGUAGUGUGCCACCUUAAGGUUUUAGUCAUUGGCUUGUAAGGCAAGAUAGUCCCUGGAGAAGAACUAAAGUACGUCAACAGCCUUGUCAGCGGAAAGACACUCCGUUGCAGUUACUGAAGAUUUGCGAGGUGACCAGUUUCCAGACAUUGGUUCGCUCCUGCUUGUGUACGAGAUUGGCCGAGACUAAAAAAACUGUAGUGUGCCACCUUAGUGUAAAAUUCA